ACUACCCCUCCACCUUUUUUUUUUCAGCUCCCACCACAAGAUGUGAGGGAUGAAUGAAUGAGCAGGCCUGCAUUCCAGCUGUAACCCUGCCAGAAGCUGGAUGACCUUGGAUUCCAGAGCCCAUUUCCAGCCCUGGCCUCACUGUCUGUCCCCACCAAACAAUGAGCACCCUGAGGGAGGAGCCUGUGGCCAAUUCAUCAGUCUACUAUGCAGAAGAUUCUAGAGAAUAUCUGCGGGACAGGGGGACAGUGCGUGAGUCGCUGGAAGGAGCCACAUUAAGUAAGAAUACCACAGAUGCCCUGCCAUCAGCCCUUGGCAGGGAGGAACUAGGCACAUCUGGGGAGCCGAAGGCUUCUUGAGGACCUUGGGACUUUACCCCCCAUGCCCAUUUUACAGAUGGAUAACGGGAGGCUUAGGGAGCAGCAGGGCCCAGGGCCAAAUUCACCCUGCAAUUCCUUUUCCUGACUUGGAUCUCUCCCCGCCACAAAGGGCGACUGCCGGGCUGAAGGCUAGCUAGCGUCCUUCGUAGCUCCCUCCCUCCAGGGCAGCCCCCCC
This is a long non-coding RNA of Mustela lutreola (European mink), 555 nucleotides long. RefSeq lists it as uncharacterized. Lineage: Eukaryota; Metazoa; Chordata; Mammalia; Carnivora; Mustelidae. The record is from RefSeq and is a predicted model, not a curated record. The transcript has 3 exons.